UUAACUUGGGAGUCAGAACAUGGGUGAUAAGGUCCGUGUUCGAAAGGGAAACAGCCCAGACCACCAGCUAAGGUCCCAAAAUAUAUGUUAAGUGGAAAAGGAUGUGGCGUUGCCCAGACAACUAGGAUGUUGGCUUAGAAGCAGCCAUCAUUUAAAGAGUGCGUAAUAGCUCACUAGUCGAGUGACACUGCGCCGAAAAUGUACCGGGGCUAAACAUAUUACCGAAGCUGUGGAUUGUCCUUUGGACAAUGGUAGGAGAGCGUUCUAAGGGCGUUGAAGCAUGAUCGCAAGGACAUGUGGAGCGCUUAGAAGUGAGAAUGCCGGUGUGAGUAGCGAAAGACGGGUGAGAAUCCCGUCCACCGAUUGACUAAGGUUUCCAGAGGAAGGCUCGUCCGCUCUGGGUUAGUCGGGUCCUAAGCUGAGGCCGACAGGCGUAGGCGAUGGAUAACAGGUUGAUAUUCCUGUACCACCUAUAAUCGUUUUAAUCGAUGGGGGGACGCAGUAGGAUAGGCGAAGCGUGCGAUUGGAUUGCACGUCUAAGCAGUAAGGCUGAGUAUUAGGCAAAUCCGGUACUCGUUAAGGCUGAGCUGUGAUGGGGAGAAGACAUUGUGUCUUCGAGUCGUUGAUUUCACACUGCCGAGAAAAGCCUCUAGAUAGAAAAUAGGUGCCCGUACCGCAAACCGACACAGGUAGUCAAGAUGAGAAUUCUAAGGUGAGCGAGCGAACUCUCGUUAAGGAACUCGGCAAAAUGACCCCGUAACUUCGGGAGAAGGGGUGCUCUUUAGGGUUAACGCC
Molecule: ribosomal RNA, 795 nt
Filed under: Staphylococcus aureus
Lineage: Bacteria; Bacillati; Bacillota; Bacilli; Caryophanales; Staphylococcaceae
Description: partial 23S ribosomal RNA
Rfam family: Bacterial large subunit ribosomal RNA
Source: RNAcentral